UAUAAAGAUAAUCUUGUGUCUGUUUCUCAUUGCUGUUUAACCAAAUAAUCUCUGAUUGCUCUGUAUUACAGGCUCUUUCCUGAGCCACCGUGGUGCUGUAUCUGAGACAGACCAUCAUCCAUGUACCUCUGGAGUCAGAGCUCUGCAGAGCUUCGCUGUCCUGAGGGCAGUUUCUGUCCAGCCGGUUCUGUAACAGGACAUCAUUCCGACUGUCAGUGUCCGUCUGGUCACUCGUGUCCGUGUGGCAGCGUCCAGCCUGCCAUCUGUCUGCCUGAUACUUAUCAGCCUCUGCCAUCCCAGCCUUCCUGUCAACCUUGCCCACCAGGUUUUAACUGUUUGGAGGGUUGCACCACCCCACUUCCCUAUCCUGCAGGCACUGUGAGUAUAAUUGAGGGGUUACAAUCUCAGCUGGAUUGCUCUCCAUGUCCUCUUGUAUUCUACUGUAACACCAGCGCACUAAUCAGCCCCACCGGACCCUGCUCUGCAGGUCAUUUCUGUUCAGUUGGAGCCACAGAGCCUGCCCCAGUCUCUCAGACAUGUGGAGAUAUAUGUCCGGCAAGAUAUUACUGCUGCUAA
Molecule: long non-coding RNA, 576 nt
Organism: Cyprinus carpio (common carp)
Lineage: Eukaryota; Metazoa; Chordata; Actinopteri; Cypriniformes; Cyprinidae
Source: Ensembl